Podarcis lilfordi (Lilford's wall lizard) is the source of this 99-nucleotide non-coding RNA. The record is from the annotation of a GenBank genome assembly. NCBI's taxonomy places the organism in Eukaryota, Metazoa, Chordata, Lepidosauria, Squamata, Lacertidae.
AUGUAUACACACACACACACACACACACACACACACACACACACAUAUAUAAUUUUUAUUAAAUUUUCUGUAUGUAUGUGUGUGUGUGUAUAUAUAUAU